UCUAAAGUAGUCUAAAAAAGAUAUAAAAUUUAGAAUUUUAAGAUGUUACUCUUUUAGAA
Molecule: transfer RNA, 59 nt
Filed under: Proasellus hercegovinensis
Lineage: Eukaryota; Metazoa; Arthropoda; Malacostraca; Isopoda; Asellidae
Description: transfert RNA-L1(CTA)
Source: RNAcentral